This is a long non-coding RNA of Syzygium oleosum, 573 nucleotides long. RefSeq lists it as uncharacterized. The transcript has 2 exons. NCBI's taxonomy places the organism in Eukaryota, Viridiplantae, Streptophyta, Magnoliopsida, Myrtales, Myrtaceae. The record is from RefSeq and is a predicted model, not a curated record.
AGAAAGCUAUGAACUAGUGGUGAUUGCUAUGUUAUAGCUAGAAAAAUCAAAAAGAGUCUAACAUGGCCAAACUUCCAUGCAAACAUCUCGUUCUCUUCGUGUUCGUCUUGCUUUGUUUCGUCUCCAUUACUGCUACUGCUCGAAACUUGCGGGAGAGUGUCGGUGGAGAAGGAACAAGUCACACGGAAACGCUUGUGGCGAAAGAAGGGCAACCAGCCGACGCAAAUGACUUGUUUUCAAUGGAUUAUACUCCGGCACGGAAGAAGCCGCCCAUACAUAACUUGUGAAAUAAUCUGAGAUGAAUGAAUGUUUUCUGGUACUGAAUCAUUCAUUUCCACAACCUUCAUCCAAUCGAUUUGAAUGUACAUAGAAAGAUAUUACCGUAUGUUAGAUAUGAUACAGUAAGAGAAGAACCAAGAAAAAAAAAAUGGCAGCAAUGAGAAUAGGGAAGUUUCUUAGGGCAUGUACACUAAAAUUUUGCAGAACUUUCUUUAGUGAUGGGGGCAUAUACUUGUAAGGUGUUUCCUCUUCCUUGUAGCUAGACAGUAAUGAAUCAUAUAUGCUUUCCAAUUC